Molecule: unclassified non-coding RNA, 342 nt
Filed under: soil metagenome
Description: partial contains 5.8S ribosomal RNA, internal transcribed spacer 2, and large subunit ribosomal RNA
Rfam family: 5.8S ribosomal RNA (bases 1-120)
Source: RNAcentral
GAUGAAGAACGCAGCGAAAUGCGAUAAGUAAUGUGAAUUGCAGAAUUCAGUGAAUCAUCGAAUCUUUGAACGCACAUUGCGCCCGCCAGCACUCUGGCGGACAUGCCUGUUCGAGCGUCAUUUCAACCAUCAAGCCCCCAGGGGCUUGUGCUGGGGCCCUGCGGCUGCCCGCAGGCCCUGAAAACCAGUGGCGGGCUCGCUAGUCACACCGAGCGCAGUAGCACAUCUCGCUCAGGGCGUGCGGCGGGCUCCUGCCGUGAAACCCCCCACUGUAACCCCAAAGGUUGACCUCGGAUCAGGUAGGAAUACCCGCUGAACUUAAGCAUAUCAAUAAGCGGAGGA